UACGAAGGGGGCUAGCGUUGUUCGGAUUCACUGGGCGUAAAGCGCACGUAGGCGGAUCGAUCAGUCAGGGGUGAAAUCCCAGAGCUCAACUCUGGAACUGCCUUUGAUACUGUCGAUCUGGAGUAUGGAAGAGGUGAGUGGAAUUCCGAGUGUAGAGGUGAAAUUCGUAGAUAUUCGGAGGAACACCAGUGGCGAAGGCGGCUCACUGGUCCAUUACUGACGCUGAGGUGCGAAAGCGUGGGGAGCAAACAGG
This 253-nucleotide ribosomal RNA is filed under the name uncultured bacterium. RNAcentral's name for it is "partial 16S ribosomal RNA". It matches the Rfam family "Bacterial small subunit ribosomal RNA", at positions 524 to 776 of the family's 1533-position model. The record is from RNAcentral.